AGCCUGAACGCUGGCGGCGUGGCUAAGACAUGCAAGUCGUACGGGUGUAGCAAUACACCAGUGGCGAACGGGUGAGUAAUGUAUCGCUAAUGUGCCCCGGAUUCUGGGAUAGCUAUCCGAAAGGGUAGGUAAUACCAGAUGAUAUAACUUUGCCGCAUGGCAGAGUUCUCAAAGGAGUAAUCCGCUCUGGGAGCAGGCGAUAUCGUAUCAGCUAGUUGGUGAGGUAACGGCUCACCAAGGCGACGACGCGUAGCCGGACUGAGAGGUUGGCCGGCCACAUUGGGACUGAGACACUGCCCAGACUCCUACGGGGGGCUGCAGUAACGAAUCUUCCGCAAUGCACGAAAGUGUGACGGAGCGACGCCGCGUGUGGGACGAAGCCCUUCGGGGUGUAAACCGACUGUCAGGGGUUAGAAAGUUCUGAUCAACCCCAGAGGAAGGCACGGCUAACUCUGCGCCAGCAGCCGCGGU
This 471-nucleotide ribosomal RNA is filed under the name uncultured bacterium. Its description in RNAcentral is "SSU rRNA". It matches the Rfam family "Bacterial small subunit ribosomal RNA", at positions 26 to 521 of the family's 1533-position model. The record is from RNAcentral.